This 377-nucleotide ribosomal RNA is filed under the name uncultured bacterium. RNAcentral's name for it is "bacterial SSU rRNA". It matches the Rfam family "Bacterial small subunit ribosomal RNA", at positions 521 to 896 of the family's 1533-position model. The record is from RNAcentral.
UAAGACGAAGGUGGCAAGCGUUGUUCGGAAUUACUGGGCAUAAAGCGCGCGUAGGUGGCAUUGUAAGCGGGGGAUGAAAUCCCAUGGCUCACCCAUGGAACUGUCCCUCGAACUGCAUUGCUUGAGGGCGGGAGGGGAGAGUGGAAUUCCUGGUGUAGCGGUGAAAUGCGUAGAUAUCAGGAGGAACACCGGUGGCGAAAGCGACUCUCUGGUCCGUUCCUGACACUGAUGCGCGAAAGCUAGGGGAGCAAACAGGAUUAGAUACCCUGGUAGUCCUAGCUGUAAACGAUGGGCACUGGGUAGAGGGGGUGUCGAUAUCCUCUCUGCCGUAGCUAAUGUGUUAAGUGCCCCGCCUGGGGAGUACGGUCGCAAGGCUA